RNAcentral lists this ribosomal RNA (468 nucleotides) under uncultured bacterium. RNAcentral describes it as "partial 16S ribosomal RNA". It matches the Rfam family "Bacterial small subunit ribosomal RNA", at positions 28 to 507 of the family's 1533-position model. The record is from RNAcentral.
GACGAACGCUGGCGGCGUGCUUAACACAUGCAAGUCGAACGGAAAGGCCCUGCUUUUGUGGGGUGCUCGAGUGGCGAACGGGUGAGUAACACGUGAGUAACCUGCCCCUGACUUUGGGAUAACUUCAGGAAACUGGGGCUAAUACCGGAUAGGAGCUCCUGCUGCAUGGUGGGGGUUGGAAAGUUUCGGCGGUUGGGGAUGGACUCGCGGCUUAUCAGCUUGUUGGUGGGGUAGUGGCUUACCAAGGCUUUGACGGGUAGCCGGCCUGAGAGGGUGACCGGCCACAUUGGGACUGAGGUACGGCCCAGACGCCUACGGGAGGCAGCAGUGGGGAAUAUUGCACAAUGGGCGGAAGCCUGAUGCAGCAACGCCGCGUGCGGGAUGACGGCCUUCGGGUUGUAAACCGCUUUCGCCUGUGACGAAGCGUGAGUGACGGUAAUGGGUAAAGAAGCACCGGCUAACUACGUG